ACGGAAUCACUUCCUUCCAAAUUCUUCAGUGAAAAAACAAACGAAUCAGACCCUUUUAGCUUUACCUAAGAGAGAACAAGACCAGAAAAUUGAAACUGGUUUAGGAGUAUAACACACCACACAACUAUGUGUCACAUAGUGCUUUUAAGUAUACUUGCAUAAGAGCAAGCAAAGAAGACCAAAAGCAAAAGGCAGGAACGUUCAUAUAAAUGUCAAAACUUUAUAAAGUUUUAGCCAGAAGCAAUCAAUCACAAACAUAUACAUAGAAGUGUGUGAUACAGAGAGUAUAAAUUGGAUCCUUGGAUUCAGAGAGAAAUAUAAGAUUGGAUCAAAAUCCAUAACUUUGACCAUUCUUGAAUGUAUCUAAAAGAUAGAUCUAUAAAAGAUUCUGGAGUAAAAGCAAGAUCACACAAACCCUCAAGAAGAAAAACAAAAAAGUCUUAUCCUUUAAUUUCUUUAGGAAUAGUUACUUCAUUACUACUACUACUUGAUUUAGAACAUAGAACCAAAAAAAAGACAAAACAGAUAUUAUGAAUCGGACCCAAAAAAAAAAAAAGUAUAACACUUCAGGGGAUGUGAUAAGACAAAGACAGAUUCGAGAAGAAAAGAAAACGAAAACG
Long non-coding RNA from Arabidopsis thaliana (thale cress), 620 nucleotides. RefSeq annotates it as other RNA. NCBI's taxonomy places the organism in Eukaryota, Viridiplantae, Streptophyta, Magnoliopsida, Brassicales, Brassicaceae. The record is from RefSeq. The transcript has a single exon.